AUGCGCAGCCGCAGAUGCAGCAACUUCGUUGGUCGACCUGCAAUCCCCUCCCUUCCUCCCCAAACCCUAGCCCAGACCUCGUCCCGCGGCUUUACGUCAGCGGCGUUGCUAGGAUACGGGGAGGGGGCGGGGAAGCAAAGGCGUCCGUGGGAGGUGCUGCAAGAGCCGGGUAGGGACUUCCUCUCUCCUCCUUUUCCUCCGCCUUUCUUCCUCCAUAGGGAGAGAAGAGAGGACAGGAAGGAAGAGAAGUCGUUCCUCCUUCUCUUGGAGCUGUUCCACGCUCUGGGCCAUCUCACCCUCCGAGGUCCUCGGGUGCGUCCGCUCCUUCGUGGAGUGCCCGGCUUCGCCCUAGAGGCAGGCCUACGACGUGCUGCGAGCCGCGCCCGGCCCCGGAGCUGCCCGUGCGCACGCGCACACUUAGGCAGGCGCGCGCGUGUGUUUUCCGCCGCCCUAGUUUUUCUACCGGGGGUGGUCAGGGGAGGCCGGGAAUCGCAAUGACUGUAGCCUCUUUGCUUUUCCAUGAACAAGCUACGACAGCUCCCAAUUCUGGGGAUUUUCAUUGACCCUCAUACCUGGAAUUUUCCCUCUCUUCACCUUCACUUGCUGAUUUUUUAACUUCUUUCAAAGUCCAACUGAAAUCCUGUCCUCUACAAGAAACUUUUAGUAUCCCUUAAUACUAAUACCUUUGUGUUGUUAAUUGUCUCCAAUUUGUCAUAUAUGUACACAUUCGAACACAUAUAAUCUUGUUUUAAUAUAUUUUUCAUGUUUUGUCCUCUAUUAAUAGAUUCAAUCUCUGUGUCCCCAGCUCUUAAUUGUUCGUUACUAAUCUGUUCUUCUGACCCCUUGGACCAUAAGAUUUUCUUGGCAAAGAUACUGAAAUGGUUUGUCAUUUCCUUCUCCAGUGGAUUAAGUUAGUGGUUAAGUUGCCCUCUGACUUAAAAGGGAAAGUCUUAUAAACUGUCAUUUUUGAUUACUAUAUUACAAAAAUGAAUAAUAUAGAAAUAAGUUGUAAGUGAUAAUGUAUAACCCAGUGGAAUGGCUUGUCAGCCCUGGGAGGGAGGAGGAGAUAGGAAAAGGAAAAAACAUGAAUCAUGUAUUCUUGGAAAAAUAUUUUUAAAGUAAAUUUUAAAAAGCUAAAAAAAAAGAUGAACUCAUUUUUCUUAAAUUACAUGAUAUUUUCAGUCUGACUUUACAAAUGACAGGCACUAUAACUUUGGGGGGCUUGUAUGGAUGAUGGCUUGUUGAAGAUAGAAUGGUUUUUAUGAGAUAAGAAAAUGGGAUUCUACACAUGAGAUUAACAAAGCUUCAGGUAUAAAAGAAGAUGGUACUAUUCUCUCACCAUGUCCCUGUAAAUAUCCAGAGCAAAGUUCUUAAUCUGAAGUCCAUGGACCCUAAGAUUUCAAGGGAAUCUGUGACCUUAGAUGGGGG
RNAcentral lists this long non-coding RNA (1428 nucleotides) under Monodelphis domestica (gray short-tailed opossum). RNAcentral describes it as "lncRNA (ENSMODG00000051276.1)". Lineage: Eukaryota; Metazoa; Chordata; Mammalia; Didelphimorphia; Didelphidae. The record is from RNAcentral.